AACAGGAUUAGAUACCCUGGUAGUCCACGCUGUAAACGAUGUCGACUUGGAGGUUGUGCCCUUGAGGCGUGGCUUCCGGAGCUAACGCGUUAAGUCGACCGCCUGGGGAGUACGGCCGCAAGGUUAAAACUCAAAUGAAUUGACGGGGGCCCGCACAAGCGGUGGAGCAUGUGGUUUAAUUCGAUGCAACGCGAAGAACCUUACCUACUCUUGACAUCCAGAGAAUUUGCUAGAGAUAGCUUAGUGCCUUCGGGAACUCUGAGACAGGUGCUGCAUGGCUGUCGUCAGCUCGUGUUGUGAAAUGUUGGGUUAGGUCCCGCAACGAGCGCAACCCUUAUCCUUUGUUGCCAGCACGUAAUGGUGGGAACUCAAAGGAGACUGCCGGUGAUAAACCGGAGGAAGGUGGGGAUGACGUCAAGUCAUCAUGGCCCUUACGAGUAGGGCUACACACGUGCUACAAUGGCAUAUACAAAGAGAAGCGAACUCGCGAGAGCAAGCGGACCUCAUAAAGUAUGUCGUAGUCCGGAUUGGAGUCUGCAACUCGACUCCAUGAAGUCGGAAUCGCUAGUAAUCGUAGAUCAGAAUGCUACGGUGAAUACGUUCCCGGGCCUUGUACACACCGCCCGUCACACCAUGGGAGUGGGUUGCAAAAGAAGUAGGUAGCUUAACCUUCGGGAGGGCGCUUACCACUUUGUGAUUCAUGACUGGGGUGAAGUCGUAACAAGGUAACC
RNAcentral lists this ribosomal RNA (731 nucleotides) under uncultured bacterium. Its description in RNAcentral is "bacterial SSU rRNA". It matches the Rfam family "Bacterial small subunit ribosomal RNA", at positions 771 to 1501 of the family's 1533-position model. The record is from RNAcentral.